UGGGGAAUAUUGCACAAUGGGCGCAAGCCUGAUGCAGCCAUGCCGCGUGUAUGAAGAAGGCCUUCGGGUUGUAAAGUACUUUCAGUCGGGAGGAAGGUGGUAAGGUUAAUAACCUUAUCAAUUGACGUUACCGACAGAAGAAGCACCGGCUAACUCCGUGCCAGCAGCCGCGGUAAUACGGAGGGUGCAAGCGUUAAUCGGAAUUACUGGGCGUAAAGCGCACGCAGGCGGUUGAUUGAGUCAGAUGUGAAAUCCCCGGGCUUAACCCGGGAAUUGCAUCUGAUACUGGUCAGCUAGAGUCUUGUAGAGGGGGGUAGAAUUCCAUGUGUAGCGGUGAAAUGCGUAGAGAUGUGGAGGAAUACCGGUGGCGAAGGCGGCCCCGUGGACAAAGACUGACGCUCAGGUGCGAAAGCGUGGGGAGCAAACAGG
This 429-nucleotide ribosomal RNA is filed under the name Chloroflexota bacterium. RNAcentral's name for it is "Chloroflexi bacterium partial 16S ribosomal RNA". It matches the Rfam family "Bacterial small subunit ribosomal RNA", at positions 355 to 776 of the family's 1533-position model. The record is from RNAcentral. Lineage: Bacteria; Bacillati; Chloroflexota.